CAAGUCAAGCGGAGUAGCAAUACUCAGCGGCGAACGGGUGAGUAACACGUGGGUAAUCUUCCUUCGAGUCUGGGAUAACUUUCCGAAAGGGAAGCUAAUACUGGAUAGUCCCGAGAGAUCAUAAGAUUUUUCGGGUAAAGAUUCAUUGCUCGGAGAUGAGCCCGCGUCCGAUUAGCUAGUUGGUAAGGUAAAGGCUUACCAAGGCGACGAUCGGUAGCCGGCCUGAGAGGGUGUUCGGCCACAAUGGAACUGAGACACGGUCCAUACUCCUACGGGAGGCAGCAGUUAAGA
This 291-nucleotide ribosomal RNA is filed under the name Leptospira noguchii. RNAcentral describes it as "partial 16S ribosomal RNA". It matches the Rfam family "Bacterial small subunit ribosomal RNA", at positions 58 to 360 of the family's 1533-position model. Lineage: Bacteria; Pseudomonadati; Spirochaetota; Leptospiria; Leptospirales; Leptospiraceae. The record is from RNAcentral.